RNAcentral lists this ribosomal RNA (465 nucleotides) under uncultured bacterium. Its description in RNAcentral is "partial 16S ribosomal RNA". It matches the Rfam family "Bacterial small subunit ribosomal RNA", at positions 28 to 507 of the family's 1533-position model. The record is from RNAcentral.
GACGAACGCUGGCGGCGUGCUUAACACAUGCAAGUCGAACGGAAAGGCCCUGCUUGCGGGGUACUCUAGUGUCGAACGGGGGAGUAACACGUGGGUGAUCUGCCCUGCACUUCGGGAUAAGCCUUGGAAACUGUGUCUAAUACAGGGUAGGAGCCCUCCUUCUUGUGGUGGUUGGAAAGUUUUUUUGGUCUGGGAUGGGCUCGCUGCCUAUCUGCUUGUUGGUGGGGUAAUGGGCUACCAAGGCGGCGGAUGGUAGCCGGCCUGGGGGGGUGGACGGGCAAAUUGGGGCUGGGAAUCGGCCCAGGCUCCUUCGGGGGGGAGGCGGGGGGAAUAUUGCACAAUGGGGGCGAGCCUGAUGCAGGGAAGCCGGGUGGGGGGUGAAGGCCUUCGGGUUGUAAACUCGUUUCGGCAGGGACGAAGCUGUUUGUGACGGUAACGGGAUAAGAAGCACCGGCUAACUACGUG